RNAcentral lists this ribosomal RNA (380 nucleotides) under Shigella sp. F-00. RNAcentral's name for it is "bacterial SSU rRNA". It matches the Rfam family "Bacterial small subunit ribosomal RNA", at positions 939 to 1319 of the family's 1533-position model. Lineage: Bacteria; Pseudomonadati; Pseudomonadota; Gammaproteobacteria; Enterobacterales; Enterobacteriaceae. The record is from RNAcentral.
AUGUGGUUUAAUUCGAUGCAACGCGAAGAACCUUACCUGGUCUUGACAUCCACGGAAGUUUCCAGAGAUGAAAAGGUGCCUUCGGGAACCGUGAGACAGGUGCUGCAUGGCUGUCGUCAGCUCGUGUUGUGAAAUGUUGGGUUAAGUCCCGCAACGAGCGCAACCCUUAUCCUUUGUUGCCAGCGGUCCGGCCGGGAACUCAAAGGAGACUGCCAGUGAUAAACUGGAGGAAGGUGGGGAUGACGUCAAGUCAUCAUGGCCCUUACGACCAGGGCUACACACGUGCUACAAUGGCGCAUACAAAGAGAAGCGACCUCGCGAGAGCAAGCGGACCUCAUAAAGUGCGUCGUAGUCCGGAUUGGAGUCUGCAACUCGACUCC